UUUAGGUUUUUUUUUUUUUUUUUUUUUUUUUAGACAUGAUGUCUAAUUCCUCCCAUUCAAAUCCUUGUGUUGAUUCCUCUAGUCCUUAUUUUCUUCAUGAUGGAGAAAAUUCAGGAUCUAUGUUGGUUAUAUUGCUGCUUACGGGGGAUAAUUUUCAUACAUGGAAGAGAUCCAUGUCCAUGGCCAUUAGUGCGAAGAACAAAACCCCUCUAUGAAUGGUAGUCUCCUCAAAUCAGCUAAUGAUGAUCCUUGCUUGGUUGCCUGGAUACACUGCAAUGACAUGAAGUUGAAUACAAGGCGAUGGCAUCAGCUACAUGUGAAUUGACUUGGCUCCUUUUUCUACUUGCUAUCUUAUGUAUUUCUCAUUCACAGCUUGCCCUUUUGUUUUGUGAUAACCAGGCAGCCCUUCAUAUUACUUUUGAUCCGGUCUUUUAUGAAAGGAUUAAGCACAUAGAGAUCAAUUGUCACCUGGUUCAUAAGAAAAUUCAAGCUGGCAACAUUAAAACUCUACAAGUUCCAAGUCCUCAUCAGCUAAGUGAUCUUCUUACUACGCCUCUUGGAUCGGUGCAGUUUCAUUUUUUACUUUCUAAUAUGGGUGUUAUUGAUCUAUACACUCCAUCUUGAGGAAGAGUAUCGGUUGUAUAAAAGACGUGUCACAUAGUAAUUUAUUGAGAGAAUAUAAAUACAUGUAUCUGUACAUGAAGACAUGUCAACAAUAGAAAAAUAAUAGAAAUGUAUAUUUUCUUUCUAUCGUA
Molecule: long non-coding RNA, 755 nt
Organism: Carya illinoinensis
Lineage: Eukaryota; Viridiplantae; Streptophyta; Magnoliopsida; Fagales; Juglandaceae
Exons: 2
Source: RefSeq, a predicted model, not a curated record